GUGGGGAAUUUUGGACAAUGGGCGCAAGCCUGAUCCAGCAAUGCCGCGUGCAGGAAGAAGGCCUUCGGGUUGUAAACUGCUUUUGUACGGAACGAAACGGUCCGGGUUAAUACCCUGGGCUAAUGACGGUACCGUAAGAAUAAGCACCGGCUAACUACGUGCCAGCAGCCGCGGUAAUACGUAGGGUGCAAGCGGUAAUCGGAAUUACUGGGCGUAAAGCGUGCGCAGGCGGUUUUGUAAGACAGGCGUGAAAUCCCCGGGCUCAACCUGGGAAUUGCGCUUGUGACUGCAAGGCUGGAGUGCGGCAGAGGGGGAUGGAAUUCCGCGUGUAGCAGUGAAAUGCGUAGAUAUUGGAAGGAACACCAGUGGCGUAAGCGGCUAUCUGGACGAGUAUUGACGCUGAGGCACGAAAGCGUGGGGAUCAAACAGGAUUAGAUACCCCUGUAGUCC
This 450-nucleotide ribosomal RNA is filed under the name uncultured bacterium. Its description in RNAcentral is "partial 16S ribosomal RNA". It matches the Rfam family "Bacterial small subunit ribosomal RNA", at positions 354 to 796 of the family's 1533-position model. The record is from RNAcentral.